AUCAUCUUAGAUCUGCUGGUCAAGAUGAAGCCUGUUGGGGCAUUGUCUCUUAAAAUGCCUUCACGGUGUUCCCUGUUGGCCUCUUCCAUGCUGGAUGGUUUUGCGUGGCUGUUGGGUCAUCUCUUACAGUCGGCAUUUCGGAGUAAAUCAACCUGUUAACCCAAGUUUAAAACCACCUUAUUUGGCUUUGAUGUUGCUUUAUUAUGAGCAGGCUGACUUGGGAUGGCCCUCACUUACCAUCCUGCGUUUCAGACCUACCUUGAAUAUGAGGUUAAGAAUAAAACUUCACUUGAGACGCUUAGGCUAUCAGAAACUAUAUUGCUUAUAAGAAGAGCCCCCAAAAGCAGUUUUUUCCAGUCUUUGUAUAUAAAAUUCACUUAAAAUUGUUUUUAGUGAGACUAGAGGUGAUAUCCCAGUGUAUAAAAUCUGUCAGAAAUAAUUGAUAAACGUAUGAGAAGCUGACUGAAAAUUGAAGGAAAGAUACGGCAUUGCCAGGAUUCAUUUAAAUACAAGAGCUAUGCAUUUAGAUUGAUUUAUUUUUGUGCCAAUAGAUUCUGACAGAAAUAUAGUGAUAUAUAAUGUAUUGACUGUAAUGUCAACAUUAUUUUAAAGCUGACUCGAGGAAAAAUAUCUUGUUGUUAGUGCUGAAAUAUCAUGCUUUAUUCUGCUGAAGGGGGAAUGCCUACAGUCAAAUAACCUCUUUCUCAAGACCCUUUGUAAUGGCUCUUAAGAUGAGUGAGUAACAGCAGAGGUGACCUGUCUCAGGGCACUCUGUGUCCUGAAAUUGUUUUGGGACUUUCAGGGCAAUAGCAGAGGGACUGGGAGCAGCACGUCCUGUGGUGCUGAGGCUGUGGCUGUGCUGGCACAGCCCAGCUCUGCGCCCCGUGCCUUUGCCUUCUGUUUUGGAGUCUCUUAAACUUGCAUCCACACUACACAGCAGGUUGGCCCUUAGGCUGGCCCUUAGGUAGCUUUUAAUGCUAAUCACAGUUUUAUACCAUGCACUGUGCAUGUUGUAUUAUGUAAAACCAAUGGGUUACAGGUUGUCAAACUGACCCUAUUUGAAUUUUGCUUUAGGGUCUUUAAUCUUUUUUUUUUGACUUGUUUUGGAGCUAACCUUGCUAGAGGCGGAGGAACUACUAGAUGUUUCGGGGGGAAAGGGUAGAUAUUCAUUGACUGAACAGUCUAGUGCAAAAGGGAUUCACCUUUUCUCUUCACUGCUUCUGCUCUUUACCUGCUGUUCUGAAUUUUCCAGGUCAAGUCUCUGGAUGUUCAGUGAAGCAACGUGACCUUCAGGACCAGGCAGAUUGGUGUUGGCUGUGGCCAUUGGAAGUCAGUGGAAACCUCAGGCUCGCAGUGGGUCUACCUUUCUCAGUCCAGGCUUCCGUUGGUCCCCAGGAGGAAUGUGCCAGCCCACUUCUGACUUAGAUCCGCUGCCUCCAAAUCCUUCUGGUUUUGCUUUGUUUUAAAGCAAGCAAACAAUACAAAACAAAACCCAAGCCAAACAAACAAACAAACAAAAAACCCUGAAAAGUUUCUUUUCCAUUAAAACUGCUUUGCAGCACUCAGCUGGCUGGUGCCUUUGCAUUCAGUCAGCGUAGGUAGGAGAGCUUGGCUGCGCACAGAGCGGCGCUGCUGGCACAAGGGGGGCUACUGCACGCUGGGUUUGUGCCAUGGUCCUGCUGUAGCCCAUGAACCAUAACGGCAGAGAGAUGGAGUUAGCCUGAAGGCUUUUCUUCUACUUCUUAUAUUGUUAGCUUGCACUUAGUCUGCUUAAAUUAUGCCCAAGUGUACCACUUCAAUUUAAGUCUACCUUUGCAAAUUUUACAAGCUUUCAUCCCUUUUUACCCUUAGCAUCUUUCUAGUAACUUAUUCUGAGUGUGUAUAACGUGUGGAAGUGGUUGUGGCUCGUUGCUCAGUGUCACAGCCAAGAAGCAAAGCAGUGUCUGCAGUUUUGCUUGAAGCCUGCAGUUGAUGUACCCCCCUGGAAAAGCCCCUUAGACCCGUAACACUUAAUUUCUCCGCUUAGGUGGCCGCUGGGUGCAGAUGUGUUGAGCACCUGCAGCUCCAGGCGCGGUUGGCUUCAGCCCCCUGGCAGGGAAGGGCAGUUGCCAGGAGCCGAGCUCAACAGGACUCGCUGUGACAUUUCUAUUCACAUAUGAAUUGUUUUAAAAGCGUCAGAUGGAGAGCAAUAUACAUAGAUUUAUCCACUCGCACGAUGUAUUACACCUGACUGUUCCAUUUCCCCUGCUAUUGAGUGGUAGAUGGUGGAUUAGUACCUCGAGCCAACGAGAGAGGCUGCAUGGGAAUAUAAUGGGAUCUCACAUCAUUUUUAAUGAACCUGAAUUCUACUUCUUAGCUCUGUUAGGAGAAUAUCCAAAUACAAUGCGGCCUUGAAUUAACAGGCACCAUCAUGUCCCCCCAAAACAUGUAAGUAGUUUGCAAUGCAUUUCAGGCUUGCACCAGCGGGGUCAGGCUCAGGUGAAGGGCUUGCCGUUGAGUUUUCUCGAGUGACAAAUGAGCCGAAUGUGCUUGUAUGUAAAUCUCCUUCUUUCCCGAGGAUCCCCUCCGCACCGCCUCCACGCAGCUCAUCAGACGGAAUAUCGGAGCCCGUUUACUGAGCUGCUGGGUCCUUUCUGCAGCUGGCUGGAGGGAUCGUUUUGCAGUUUGUCCCUGAGGCACAGGAGGGAUGGUACCAACCCCCUUGCACCCGCUGCCCCGUUUUCCCCAUCAGUGUUAGCGAGGGGACAGCCGAACGCCACUUUUUGGGGGGGAAAACUUUCUUCUAUUUGCGCAUGUUGAUUUGAAAACUUGGUAAAAAGUUAUGCUAACAAGCUCGAGCCUUCUAGGAUUGCAGUACGAGGCAAACCUGUUGGUUAUGAAUAUGCGGGGAGGGGACAUGAAACACGCAAGGUGAAUUCUGCAAGAAGCCACUGAAACCUUGGGCUGGGGAGCACAGUGGAGCCCGUGGGCCCUCCCUUGCCCACUAGAAAGCACCUGCGGGCUGUUUUGUAUUUUCUUGCCCUUUCUUUGUGAGGUACGUGUGAUUUUUUUCUGCUCUCUUCAGCCCCCCACUCCCCUCUGGAGCUGCCCAUAAGGCGGCCACGUGUGAGCCAGCCUCGUGCUCGGCUUUGCUAACUGCAAAGGGCACUGAGGUAUUGCAUUGCAAACCACCGGCAACAAUUAGCCACAACCUAAUAAAGCAAUGUUUUGACACGCUGGGCAGCAAGCAUAAUUUUUGUGUGGUGGGAAACGUUUACAAUAGAAAAACUGUUGUUCUUUUUGCUCUGCACACUCGACAGAAGUAAAUCCGCUCGUCAGUUUUAACGGGGGCUUACUUACUAGCAGACUUUCUUCUGCCAUUCUCUCCCCUCCCACUCCUUGGCACCAUUAAAGAAGAGGCUAAAUAACGUCCACCUCUCCCCAAAUCGGUGGAUAUUGUCUUUGCCCCAGUGCCACCCACCCUAUCAGCCCAGCACCACGGCCCCGGCUCCUGCCUGUCCCCUGUCCGCAGGCAAGAGCUAUCGAUUAACUCACUGCUGUUAACUAAGCACAGGCAAGGUGGAAAAUGCUAGCUUUAUUUUAAUAAGUGUAUUUGAGUAAGUGCUUUUGCUAACACUUCUAUAUAUAUAUAUAUUUUUUUUUUUCUUACAAGGUUCUGUGAUACUGCAGAAUCUCCUGGGGUGGUUAAUACACUUUAAAAACAAAACUGAGCUGGGUAAUAGUACUUAAAAUAAUCCAAACACUGCUAUUUUACAUGUGAAGUUGCCUCUGGCUUUGUUUCAGUAUAAAUCUACCUGGCUAUUAAAUCUGCCGUGACUGAUGCGGUCCUUAUUUCUGAAGGAUGCAUUAAGGGAACUGUGAUUGAAAGAUGACAUAAAAAUUAUGUGGUGUUACUGCUGAGAUAUCUCUGAUUAUAGCUGCUUUUUACAUCUUCUGUAAAUUCCUGUGUUUGCAGUGUUAUUUCCCUGCAAGGGUUUGUAAGUAUUAAAUUAAUUUGGCGGCUUGAGGUUCUAAGAAACAGGAGAUAUUCGCGUGCCAAGAGAAACUGUAAACACAACCUUAUCUGAACUGCAUCUCCUCCUCAGAAUCCUUGUCCCUGCAGUAGGUGAGUAGCUCGAGGAAAGGACCCAAUUCAGGAUGUGGUUGUGGGUCUGCUGACUGAUUGCAAGAGGAGGUGUUACAGCAGAAAUGGAUUUGCUUUACUUGGAGUUAAUUUUUCCUUCUGUGGUUUCCCUGAACGCCUAGGGUUUAUCCAUAGGGCGUUGCAGAAUAUACAUCUAUGUGUGUCUACACGUGCACACGCCUUGUUGGGCAGCUAAUUCUGCGGGGUCUGCCUUUCCUCUGAUGGUUAGGACGUGGAGUGGCACCAGGAGGAUUUUUUAGUUUGAAGAUGCAGGUGAUGGAGGUCACUCAGGGGUUUAUAAAUGGUUUUCUGAUGAACUCCGGGACUGCUGCAGCCUGUUUCAGAAGGGUGACAUCAAGUAAGAGGUGAAGGACGGAACUGUGUAAUUGAAAAAUAAAGCGAACACAGCAUCUGGUUUGCUUUCUGCUGCAGCAUGAGACUUCACCUGUACCUUGCUAAAUAGCCCUUAAGAGAGAUUAUCAUUAAAAUCUGGCAGUGACUCAACUGGAGUACAUCUGUGCAGUGUGAAAUCAAAUCUUUAUUUGAGUGCAGAACACCUGGGUCAGCUGACUGCCUGGUUUGUGGAUUUAAAAAAAAAAAAAAAAAAAAGAAAAGGAAAAAAAAAAAGAGAAAUCUGCAAGAAACAGUGUUAAAUAAACCCUAUUUUUCAGUGCAAAGCUGGAAUGAUGAAGGUCACUGCAGCAAUUCCUCCUUGGGUGAGCGACCAGGAAGGAGCAGCGGCUGGGUCCCCAGCUCAGCCUCCUGCCACGGCUCCUGUUCGCCCUCGCACCCCUGGGAACCAGCUCAGGAAUUGCAGAAUCGUUGUAAUCCAGUUUUUCCCAUUGCUGGUGCAUGCAGAAAUACACCCCGGCUACAGAAAGCCCUUCCCAGGGCUGGGUGUCCACGGGCGUGAGCAAGGUGACUGAACCCCAACAAUUAACAAAUGAAUACAGCAAACAGGAUGCUUUUAAUGAGAUAUAGACCGCAGAAACAGAACAGAUUAUUGACGUGUUUGAGUAACAUGCAUUUUAUUGCCUUUGCACGUUUUAUUUAGGAGAAAUUCUUCUUGUAAUUAAGAAAUGAGCUGAUGACUGUGACUAUAAAUUGUUACAUGGCUGCAUCCAGCAUCUGUACUUAAAACAGUUCAAUGAAUUAUUAUUUUUAAUGAAGAAUUAUUGUUGGAUGAAGAACUCAAGUCAUUAUUUUUGCUGAUCAUCAUGCCAGAACUUGGGUAUUGGAGAUCAGCGUUUGCUUUUAAAAUGCCAAAGCUGCCAACAUCUGAACUGGGUGCCUACGGGAAGGGGAAUGUCCUUGGUGUGAAGGGCUUCACAGAGCGAUGCUGGGUGGGGUUGUGCCUCGUAGGGUUGGACACCAAAAUCACACCCGCGGGCUCCUCUGGCCCGUCAGAGCUAAAUGGGCAAGUGCAAAGGGAGAACAGUGACUGCUGGCAAAGAGCUAUCCGUAAUAAUCCUUGCAGUGAUCUCUUCUUGGGGUCUAUCUCGUGUCUUUGCCUUUCUCCUAUUCUUCACGUUCAGUGA
Tyto alba (common barn owl) is the source of this 5661-nucleotide long non-coding RNA. RefSeq lists it as uncharacterized. The transcript has 4 exons. The record is from RefSeq and is a predicted model, not a curated record. Lineage: Eukaryota; Metazoa; Chordata; Aves; Strigiformes; Tytonidae.